UUCAGUGUAUAUUAAUUAUUUAUUUUCAUUUUACUUAAAAUAUAUGUUUUUGUUAAGUUAACAUAUGUUUUUCUAAUCAAGUCUACGUAAUUGUGUCUAUUAUUCAACGUACAUAAUACUAAUGUGUUACUUGAUCGCAUAACAUUUAAGUUAAGUCAAUGAGGAUCGAUAUACCUUGUAUAUCCACAAGGUGGCAGUAAUGCAAAAACAGUUGUAAUGAAACCGCGCAGAACAAGAAGGUUUCACGGCUUGUGCCUGCUCAUGCGCAAGACUUCAAAUUUAACUGAAAAAGGCUGUUUUGGCGCCAAGCUGCUGUUUCUUUGAGAGAUCCUGCCUUUACCUGCUCCCUCCUAUACUGAUGUGGUGUAUGUGGUACUGCUGAGCUUGUAUGUGGUGGAAGCAGAAUAUGUGAGGAUUACUACUGCUGCACAUGUUCCAAGGCUUUUUACACAACUUGACCAAUACACUGACCAGCUCAUAAAAGUCUUCAAGAAAAAAGGAGGCGUUGCAGGGAAGAAAAUUAGACAAACUUUGGCCCCAGCCACACAGAAGGAAACCAUUGAAAAGGGGAGGGAGUGUGUCCUCAGGGCACUACCUUUUUACCUGAAUGAAGACCCAAGCAUCCUCUUCAAAGAAUAAUUGCUACAGCUGUUCAGAGGGAGCUGGAACAAAUUACCCUUGCUAUCUUUACCAUCGAAAGAGCUGAUGCCAGCACUCCUCCAGCCGAUGUGGGUAUAACCAUCUAGUGUGUCCUGCAUGACCUGGAAGACCUGGCCUCUGCAUGUGCACUCUUAAUGGGUGGGAUAUAUGCACUGAAUCUCAGUUAACCUCAAGACUGAAAGCUAAGAGACAAUCAAAAGUAUUGAGAUUUAAAGGAUUUAAUUGAGAGAUGAUACUGCACCAGAAAUGUUGAAGGGUGGUGUGUAUAUUAGCGUUCAAGGCAUAUUGUUAUGAGGUGGAAAUAUGUUCAU
Molecule: long non-coding RNA, 971 nt
Organism: Maylandia zebra (zebra mbuna)
Lineage: Eukaryota; Metazoa; Chordata; Actinopteri; Cichliformes; Cichlidae
Source: RefSeq, a predicted model, not a curated record